Molecule: non-coding RNA, 24 nt
Filed under: Arabidopsis thaliana (thale cress)
Lineage: Eukaryota; Viridiplantae; Streptophyta; Magnoliopsida; Brassicales; Brassicaceae
Source: RNAcentral
AGUCCACCUGUCAAGCCACCACCA